CCUACGGGUGGCAGCAGUGGGGAAUAUUGGGCAAUGGGCGCAAGCCUGACCCAGCAACGCCGCGUGAAGGAAGAAGGCUUUCGGGUUGUAAACUUCUUUUCUCAGGGACGAAGCAAGUGACGGUACCUGAGGAAUAAGCCACGGCUAACUACGUGACAGCAGCCGCGGUAAUACGUAGGUGGAAAGCGUUAUACGGAUUUACUGGGUGUAAAGGGCGUGUAGGCGGGGACGAAAGUCAGAUGUGAAAACCAUGGGCUCAACCUGUGGCCUGCAUUUGAUACUGUGUUUCUUGAGUACUGGAGAGGCAGGCGGAAUUCCUAGUGUAGCGGUGAAAUGCGUAGAUAUUAGGAGGAACACCAGUGGCGAAGGCGGUCUGCUGGACGGCAACUGACGCUGAGGUGCGAAAGCGUGGGGAGCAAACAGGAUUAGAUACCCCGGUAGUC
RNAcentral lists this ribosomal RNA (443 nucleotides) under uncultured bacterium. Its description in RNAcentral is "partial 16S ribosomal RNA". It matches the Rfam family "Bacterial small subunit ribosomal RNA", at positions 338 to 795 of the family's 1533-position model. The record is from RNAcentral.